GUACACAUCGCUCCAUUCCUGAAAAAUAAUAGAGCGAGCAGACAAAGGAAUUGCGUCACAAAUGUAAUUCAAUUAUGUUUCUGAUGGAAAGCUGUCACUGCUU
Haliotis rubra (blacklip abalone) is the source of this 103-nucleotide long non-coding RNA. RefSeq lists it as uncharacterized. The transcript is spliced from 3 exons. The record is from RefSeq and is a predicted model, not a curated record. NCBI's taxonomy places the organism in Eukaryota, Metazoa, Mollusca, Gastropoda, Lepetellida, Haliotidae.